GAUGAACGCUGGCGGCGUGCCUAUCACAUGCAAGUCGAACGGAGAUUACGGACGGAAGUUUUCGGAUGGAAGCCUGUAAUUCUUAGUGGCGGACGGGUGAGUAACGCGUGGGCAACCUGCCCUAUACAGGGGGAUAGCAGCUGGAAACGGCUGGUAAGACCGCAUAAGUCGGUUAAAUCGCAUGAUUUGAUCGGGAAAUGAGCAAUCAGGUAUAGGAUGGGCCCGCGUCCGAUUAGCCAGUUGGCAGGGUAAAAGCCUACCAAAGCGACGAUCGGUAGCCGGACUGAGAGGUCGGACGGCCACAUUGGGACUGAGACACGGCCCAAACUCCUACGGGAGGCAGCAGUGGGGGAUAUUGCACAAUGGAGGAAACUCUGAUGCAGCGACGCCGCGUGAGUGAAGAAGUAUUUCGGUAUGUAAAGCUCUAUCAGCAGGGAAGAUGAUGACGGUACCUGACUAAGAAGCCCCGGCUAACUACGUG
RNAcentral lists this ribosomal RNA (481 nucleotides) under uncultured bacterium. RNAcentral describes it as "partial 16S ribosomal RNA". It matches the Rfam family "Bacterial small subunit ribosomal RNA", at positions 28 to 507 of the family's 1533-position model. The record is from RNAcentral.